GGUGCAUGCGGAAAGGUUUAAAAG
RNAcentral lists this non-coding RNA (24 nucleotides) under Arabidopsis thaliana (thale cress). The record is from RNAcentral. Lineage: Eukaryota; Viridiplantae; Streptophyta; Magnoliopsida; Brassicales; Brassicaceae.